GGGGGGGGGGGGGGGGGGGGCGGAUGCAGGCGGGGCGGGCGGAGGGGGGGGGGGCUUGCUUGUCUGAUGUUGGCGGCGGGCGGGGGAGUAACACGUGGAUAACCUACCUCUAAGACUGGGAUAACUUCGGGGAACCGGAGCUAAUACCGGAUCAUAUUUUUAACCGCAUGGUUCCAAAGUGAAAGCCGGUCUUGCUGUCCCGUAUAUGUGGAUCCGCGCUGCAUUAGCUAGUUUGUAAGGUAAAGGCCUACCAAGGCAACGAUUCAGAGCCGACCUGCGCGGGGGAUCGGACACACAGGAACUGAGACACGGGACUGACUCCUACGGGAGGCAGCAGUAGGGAAUCUUCCGCAAUGGGCGAAAGCCUGACGGAGCAACGCCGCGGGAGUGAGGAAGGUCUUCGGAUCGUAAAACUCUGUUAUUAGGGAAGAACAUAUGUGUAAGUAACUGUGCACAUCUUGACGGUACCUAAUCAGAAAGCCACGGCUAACUACGUG
RNAcentral lists this ribosomal RNA (497 nucleotides) under uncultured bacterium. Its description in RNAcentral is "partial 16S ribosomal RNA". It matches the Rfam family "Bacterial small subunit ribosomal RNA", at positions 38 to 507 of the family's 1533-position model. The record is from RNAcentral.